Molecule: ribosomal RNA, 415 nt
Filed under: uncultured bacterium
Lineage: Bacteria
Description: bacterial SSU rRNA
Rfam family: Bacterial small subunit ribosomal RNA
Source: RNAcentral
UCAGCAGCCGCGGUAAAACGUAGGACGCAAGCGUUAUCCGGAAUUACUGGGCGUAAAGCGCGUGUAGGUGGUUGCAUAAGUCACUGUUGAAAGCUCCCGGCUAAACUGGGAGAGGUGCGGUGAGACUGUGUGGCUAGAGUAUGGGAGAGGGAUGCAGAAUUCCGGGUGUAGUGGUGAAAUGCGUAGAGAUCCGGAGGAAUACCAGAGGCGAAGGCGGCAUCCUGGCCUGUUACUGACACUGAGACGCGAAAGCAUGGGGAGCGAACGGGAUUAGAGACCCCGGUAGUCCAUGCCGUAAACGAUGCAAACUAGAUGUAUGUGACCUUACGGGGUUGUGUGCGUCGCAGCUAACGCGAUAAGUUUGCCGCCUGGGGAGUACGGUCGCAAGGCUAAAACUUAAAGGAAUUGGCGGGGG